Molecule: ribosomal RNA, 360 nt
Filed under: Echinofabricia alata
Lineage: Eukaryota; Metazoa; Annelida; Polychaeta; Sabellida; Fabriciidae
Description: eukaryotic LSU rRNA
Rfam family: Eukaryotic large subunit ribosomal RNA
Source: RNAcentral
AUCACUCAGCGGAGGAAAAGAAACCAACAGGGAUUCCCUCAGUAACGGCGAGCGAAGCGGGAAGAGCCCAGCGCUGAAUCGCCCGGUCGAUAAAUGGCCGGCGCGAAAUGUAGCGUUUGGGAGCGCCUUUGCGUCCCUCGUGGGCGAAUGCCCUCGAAGCGCGUCCAAGUCCUCCUGAGCGAGGCUGUCAGUCCUUAGAGGGUGCGAGACCCGUAUGACGCGUGGCGGGGGACGCUCUGAGCGAUCACUCCCUAGAGUCGGGUUGUUUGAAAGUGCAGCCCAAAGUCGGUGGUAAAUUCCACCUAAGGCUAAAUACAACCGCGAGUCCGAUAGCGAACAAGUACCGUGAGGGAAAGUUGA